UCGACUCAAGCUUCCUAAACAUCAAACAUGAUGAUUACAACUCUCCCCCUAACUUUUUCCUACCAAAACAUAAAACCAAUGAAAACCCAUCAAGAUCCCAAUUUUCCCUCAAAAUCAUUCAGUCUUCUUCAUCUCCAUCAAAACCCCAAUUUCGAAACCUUCCCUGAAAUCUUCUUUAGCGAAAGAGCAUCAACCAUCUUCUUCAGCAAAAUCUUCUUCAAAACCUUCCUUGUCUUCUUCAUUGAAACAACGGCCUCUACAAAAGAUCUUCUUCAUCGAAAGGUGUCCAGCUUCAUCCUUUGCAGAAACAAGAGGUAACAAAAUACAUUUAGUGAUCUCCUCUAUCUUCAGAACUACUCCAAAGCAACAUUAAAGAUGAAAAACAAGAAGGGUGAAGAAGGAAGAACAAGAGUUAGCGACAGAUUAAAUGCUGCUGGAAUUACUAGUUCAAAGAACCAUCAACAAAAGAACCAGAACUUGGAGCGAAAUUAAUAAUCUGGGGUGAGAAUGUGAGAGGGAGAUGCGAACGAGUUUGUUUAGAAGGAGGGAAAUGCAGACGAAAUUGUUUCGAAGGGUGGGCGAGCAGAACAACAAUGGUGGCAGCAAGCAAAUUGGUGGCGGCGAGCACAAUGGUGGCGUCGAUCUCAAUAGUGGCGACAAACACAAUGGUGGCAGCGAUGGUUAUUCGGAGAAGAAAUGGACGGAUUCCAUUUGAAGAAGAAAGAAUUUGCGAGCCGCGACUAAAGGAGAAGAUCGAAAGAGUAAAGUAUGAGAGAGAUUGUUAUUUUUUUACAAAAUAAAAUUAUUAAAAUUAAAAUUUAAAAUGGACCUUUAAUGUCGGUUUAAAACCGAAUUAAACUUGUUAUUUUUUUUACAAAAUAAAAUUAUUAAAAUUUAAAUUUAAAUGGACCUUUAAUGUCGGUUUUCAAGAGGGCGGACCUUUAAUGUCGGUUUAAAACCGACAAUAAAGCUUAUUCUUUAAUGUCGGUGGAAAACCGACAUUAAACAUCCGCCUUUUCAAAACCGACAUUAAUGUUCAUUUAUCAUUUUUCUCAACCGACAUUAAAGCGUAUAUUUCUUCUAGUGAUAUACCUAUUGGUUGGCCAAUGGGUUUGGGCCUUUAGGGUACUCAAGUUUUGGAAGGAGGGAGGAGAUAGGCAAAUGAAGACAUGCCUACAUCUCCAUACUCGCGCGCUGCCACCGUCGGUCGGGA
Molecule: long non-coding RNA, 1213 nt
Organism: Cucumis melo (muskmelon)
Lineage: Eukaryota; Viridiplantae; Streptophyta; Magnoliopsida; Cucurbitales; Cucurbitaceae
Exons: 3
Source: RefSeq, a predicted model, not a curated record